This 474-nucleotide small RNA is filed under the name Pongo abelii (Sumatran orangutan). RNAcentral describes it as "retained intron". The record is from RNAcentral. Lineage: Eukaryota; Metazoa; Chordata; Mammalia; Primates; Hominidae.
UAAAGAACUUGGUAAUAAAAGUGGAAGAAUAUCAAGGGUUCGAGAAAAAGGAGGAUAAAUAUUAAAAAUGUUAAAAAUUCACUAGCAGGGGUAGGUGCUGAAAGAGCCAUUGGAUUUUAGCUCAGAGGGAUUAAUAUGUGUCAAACCUUAGCAUUAAGUGUCCUAAUAUAAGGGGUAGGCCAUUUGAAUUUGAAUCCUAACCAUGAAGCAUCCAUUCUCAGUUUCAACCAGAAGGAGGGGUUCUCUCGAGGAGAAUUUAUUCCAUGAGAUGGAGACCUGCCUCAAGAGAGAGGACCCACACGGGACAAGAACCUCAGAUCAACCUCUAAAUAUCUUUGAAGGAGACAACAACUUUUAAAUGAAUAAAGAGGAAGUCAAGUUGCCCUAUAGAAAACUUGUCCAAAUAACAUUUCAACAGCUAAAUUGAUAAAGACUGGUGAUAAUAAAAGUUGAAUUAUGUAUAUCACUGUUAAA